This 1397-nucleotide long non-coding RNA is filed under the name Chrysolophus pictus (golden pheasant). RNAcentral describes it as "lncRNA (ENSCPIG00010006742.1)". Lineage: Eukaryota; Metazoa; Chordata; Aves; Galliformes; Phasianidae. The record is from RNAcentral.
GUGGAACUGAGUCCUGUGCACUUGAGGAGAGCAUCAGAUGACAACUGAGCAGGGUUACUGUGGACCUGUAUGUCAGUCUCACCAUCUUCACAUGACAGCUGGACAUUUAAAGACAGGUCUUGCACAUGCUGUUCAGAAGUGGACAAAAUUGUGUGUCUUCUAGGAGGCAAAAGUUCUGAAGGCAGUUCAAACUUUCUUAAGCUAGGGUGGAGGUUUGUGGGGCAGAUGCUCCCAGCUCAGCUGAAACCCUACAUGAAGAGUGUUACUACUUUGUAAGUAGAGGAAGUGAGAUGAAGAGUAGAUGGAAGGAGAGGCGUCUUCCUUUCCAUUUUCAAGCUUUUUGCCUAAGCAAAGCAGGAUUCCUAGACUGAACUUAGGUAUGUCUGACACAGGUCCUUAGAAGUAGGUUCUACUUUAGUUCCAGACAUUCUGCCAGGCAGAGAUGGAUCAGAGCCUCUGCUGUGAGAAGUCCCAGCAACAUACAUUUGCCCAAACUGGGACUUCUUUUUGUGCCUUUGUGGGAUACAGAGCCUGCAAGAACUUGGGGCGGGUGCUGACUUCCCAGAAUUGUUUUGAUUUCCAUUGAGCCUCAAUGAAAUUUCAAGAAGAAACAAAUGCCACAAGCCUGCAUGUUCAUAGCUCUGUACCUUGGAUGCAGGGUGGGCAGCUUUACAAGGCACACAUAGUCUGAUCUUGCAAAAACCUAAUCUGACCAUGACAUAGAAGGUGACUGAAGUAAUGCACCUGAAAAGCUGUUUUUUGUGCCUUCUAGUCUUUUAAUGCUCUAUGGAUGAGAGGAAGGCAAAUGUACUCAGAUGCUGUGCCAGACAACCUACACGCAUAGUGCCAAAACACUUCAGCAGCUUUUGAAGUACUUAACUUCUGCAACUGACAUCAUUUUCUGUGAGAAAGGUGGUAUUGCUAGCAGGUCAGUGCUUUGUUCUGAACUUGCUUUAAGAGUGAGGUUGCCUCAGAAUCCCACAGCCCCAGUUCAGUUCAGUGAACAAGAAAAGGCCGAGUAAUCACACAUAAUUUUGUCAGCAAUAUCUGUCCAUUUGUGAGGAACAUGGUCACAACAGUCACAGCUCCAGAACAACAAAAAGCGUGCAUCUUUUGCAUCCCAUGGGCACAGAAGAACCUUGUUUCUUCAGAGUAGGAGGAUCUCUCAAUCUGUCUGCUUCAUGCCAGAGGGUCAGUGGGGAAUGAGGAUCUGCAUGAGGAGUUGCUGUAGGCUGCAAAGGCAUUAUUUCACAACUUAAAGCCAGGACUCACACUUCCCUAAGAUCUCAGCACAUCAUUUUCCUUUUAAAUGCACUGAAACUGUGCGAGGUUUCAAAAUAAGGUACAGACCAGUAAGUCUCUGCAACGGCAGAAAUAAAAAAUUCCUACAGCAUUCA